AGCUAAUACCGCAUAACGUCGCAAGACCAAAGAGGGGGACCUUCGGGCCUCUUGCCAUCGGAUGUGCCCAGAUGGGAUUAGCUAGUAGGUGGGGUAACGGCUCACCUAGGCGACGAUCCCUAGCUGGUCUGAGAGGAUGACCAGCCACACUGGAACUGAGACACGGUCCAGACUCCUACGGGAGGCAGCAGUGGGGAAUAUUGCACAAUGGGCGCAAGCCUGAUGCAGCCAUGCCGCGUGUAUGAAGAAGGCCUUCGGGUUGUAAAGUACUUUCAGCGAGGAGGAAGGCGUUGUGGUUAAUAACCGCAGCAAUUGACGUUACUCGCAGAAGAAGCACCGGCUAACUCCGUGCCAGCAGCCGCGGUAAUACGGAGGGUGCAAGCGUUAAUCGGAAUUACUGGGCGUAAAGCGCACGCAGGCGGUCUGUCAAGUCGGAUGUGAAAUCCCCGGGCUCAACCUGGGAACUGCAUCCGAAACUGGCAGGCUAGAGUACUAAUUGG
This 500-nucleotide ribosomal RNA is filed under the name Citrobacter freundii. Its description in RNAcentral is "bacterial SSU rRNA". It matches the Rfam family "Bacterial small subunit ribosomal RNA", at positions 161 to 656 of the family's 1533-position model. The record is from RNAcentral. Lineage: Bacteria; Pseudomonadati; Pseudomonadota; Gammaproteobacteria; Enterobacterales; Enterobacteriaceae.